This 50-nucleotide small nuclear RNA is filed under the name Cervus elaphus hippelaphus. The record is from RNAcentral. Lineage: Eukaryota; Metazoa; Chordata; Mammalia; Artiodactyla; Cervidae.
UCACUUCUGACAGCACAUAUACUAAAAUUGGAACGAUACAGAGAAGAUUA